AAUCACCUCCAGUGGGGCACACAUCGUCAAGCGUCGUUAGUGGGUGUGGUUAUUGAAGCAAACCUAAAAGGAGAACUAAACCUAAAGAUAGAAACUGAGUCAGUAUGUGUGACAACACACUUUAAGGAUCUUGAAAACCCUCUACUACCUUCUGACAGUGUCUCUCAAAACAGACACCCAGAAGACAUGGCCAAGGUGCACAUCGACAUAAGGAAACUCCUCCAGUUGCUUGCUGGACAGCAAGUGGCUCCCACCAAGGCGGUGUGCAAUAUCGUCAAUAACAGAACUAUUCACUUUGAUCUGCUCCUGGAAGACGUCUCCCUUCAGUAUUUCAUCCCAGCCUUGUCCUAGCACCAUCUCAGCUGACCCAGGAGGACAGAGGACUUUGUCGUGAUGAGAGAAGCACUGGACGAUAUGGUCAGUCAGCUGCCUGUCCUCACAGUACCACACAUUUGAACUGGGCUUAUUUCUCUCCCUAUGCUGCUUUAAACACAAAUGGAAGUCGUGAAGCACAGUCGGAUAGUCAUUCCUUCAUAUGACUCAGUACCAACCCCUUCGCCCUUUAAGCCAUUAAGAAGAAAAGAGAAUUUAUUUUUUGU
Molecule: long non-coding RNA, 599 nt
Filed under: Rattus norvegicus (Norway rat)
Lineage: Eukaryota; Metazoa; Chordata; Mammalia; Rodentia; Muridae
Description: long non-coding RNA NONRATT010133
Source: RNAcentral